This 24-nucleotide non-coding RNA is filed under the name Arabidopsis thaliana (thale cress). The record is from RNAcentral. Lineage: Eukaryota; Viridiplantae; Streptophyta; Magnoliopsida; Brassicales; Brassicaceae.
GUAACGUCCUGCCAAACCCGUCCC